This 75-nucleotide non-coding RNA is filed under the name Sus scrofa (pig). Lineage: Eukaryota; Metazoa; Chordata; Mammalia; Artiodactyla; Suidae. The record is from RNAcentral.
UACGUGGGUGCUGGAAGGUCAGAGGGAGGGGCUUCUGUCUCGGUGUGUGUCCUCUGACCUUCCUGCAUCCCGUUC